GAUUUCUGCUUUAAACUGUCGAGGCCUAAGGUAAUGGCUCAGGAAGAGGACCAAGCACAGAGCUCUAACCAACCCAAGCCAGGUUUUAUAAAGAACAAGUCAAGGUGGUGAGAAAAUUGCAUUCUCAUUAUCUCCCACUUCCUUAUACAUCAGAAAGACAAAAUUGGUUAUUUUAAUUGCAAUUUAGAAAUUUUUUAAAAAUUAUUUUAAAGUCAGUAACAAGCUUAAUUAUAAAGAUAUUCCUGAAGUUCCUACUGUGGUGCAGCAGAAACCAAUCUGGCUAGUGUCAGUGAGGAGGCAGGUUCGAUCCCUGGCCUCGCUCAGUGGGUUAGGGAUCUAGCAUUGCCGUGAGCUGUGGUGUAGGUCACAGACGCAGCUCCGAUCCCAUGUUGCUGUGGCUGUGGUGUAGGCCAGAAGCUCCAGCUCCAGUUCAACCACUACCCUGGGGAAUGUCCAUAUGCCACGGAUAUGGCCUUAAAAAAAAAAAAAAAAAAAAAAAAGAAGAAGAUUUUCUGCGAAGGGACUGGGAUUAACUCUAGUUUACCAACCCCUUUUUUUGUAGGGAGCCAGAAAUGGAAUCAUGUAGAAUAUCCACUCCAUUCCACCAUCAAAACCUUGCUUCUCUUUAUGAGGAAACAGAGGCCCACAGAGGGAAGAGCUCUGUCAUUUUCGGUAAAACACUUCAAGGCGGAGAUGCAUUCAGAGCAUCGCACAGGGCUGCCCAGAAGUGAAUUCCAUGUAGAUGCUUCAACAUGAAGUUACUAAAGAGGGAGUUGGAAAGAGGUGUCCUCAACUGGUCCCCAGCCAAGGUGAAAGGCAGGAAGGUGCAGUCUACAAAAUCCAAGAAAACUUAAGACCAAAAGCUGAAGUCCAGAGCAGUUGUGCUAAGGGUGGCCCAAGGAAUGACUCUAGAGGUCAUGACCCUGAAGAGGUGGAAGCAGAGAUUAGAAAGGACCCCUAGGAGUUCCCGUCGUGGCUCAGUGGUUAACGAAUCCAACUAGGAACCAUGAGGUUGCAGGUUCGAUCCCUGGGCUUGCUUGGUGGGUUAAGGAUCCGGCGUUGCCGUGAGCUGUGGUGUAGGUCGCAGACGCAGCUCGGAUCCCACAUUGCUGUGGCUCUGGUGUAGGCUGGCGGCUACAGCUCCAAUUAGACCCCUAGCCUGGGAACCUCCAUAUGCCGAGGGAGCAGCCCAAGAAAUGGGAAAAAAGACAAAAAGAAAAAAGGAAGAAAGAACCCCUAAAUCUAUGAGGGUGAGCAUAGAUGGAGGAUGGAGUUUAUGAUCCAGGUCCAGAAACCACAGAAGGAUGUGAGAUAUUGUGCUUGAGGCCAUCAGAUAUUGGAGUCAGGUCUCAAGUGAUUUAUGGGCUGUCGUUCAUCACCCCACUAUUGAGCCUCUUCUUUGGGCCUGAGACUGUGUGGAUUAUAAAGAUGCAUAAAGCAUUCCUGUCCAUUCAGUAGGGAAAUGAGGCCCCUACCAGUAAUGUGGCAUGUCAUGUGACUGGUACAGAUUAAAGGAUGAAGCUCUUAAUGAUAGACGCCACUUAUCAGAGCCCUUAGAAUGUGCAUAGCAUCGUGUUAGGUACUUUACCUCCAUUCUGUUGAAUCUUUAGAACAACCCAUUUUGUAGAUGAGAAAAUUGAGCCCAAGGUCACACAUUUGGCAAGUGGUAGAGCCAGACCUGGAACACAGGUCUUUCUAAUUCCAAAAAGUCUGUCCCCCAACCACUGUGCAUACUGCCCUCCUCUGCCCUUAAAGAUCCUACUCUGAUGGAGAUGAAGGCUGGUGUAAUAGGAGAUUUGGAGUUUCUUUUUAAAAAAUUACUCAGCUUGCAUAUUCCUAAAGAGUCAAUUCAUGUUAAGAAAUAAUUUCCCUUGUGCUCGCAUGUGACAUGUAUUUUUAGGAUCUGCUGUUAGCAAGUGUAUUUUUGUGUGAUUGAGUGGGAGAGUGGGGAAAGUUUUGCAGAGCUGUUUAAGCCAGAAUGCAGGGGGCACAGCGGAGACUGUGAAAUCUCUGCCAUCUAAGGUCUCAGAAAAGCCACAGAGAGACGUGUUCUCAAUUUAUUAUUCUAUGUACAUCCCCAGAUGAAUGACUAGCUAAAGGUAUUGUUAAAGCAUUUUAAAUGACCCACUUCCAGCAGUGAACAAAAUCACUUACUGCGCCAAGCCAACUAGCGUUUCUGAGAUUAUAAAGCCACAAAGUGAGGAAAACAUUAAAACUGCUAAAGGAAAAACGAUGCAUGAUAGUGGAGAAGGAGCAAAAUGGAGCUCUAUUGUCUGCCUAGGCAGAUGGCUGACCACUAGGUGGGCCCCGGUGUGAUGUCCAGGGUAAUUGGCUGCUGGGGUUUUUCUGGCAAGGACGAUUCCGACUUCAGCUUGGUACCAGGUCCUGGCUCGUUCUUCCCUAGACGCUCCUCUCUGCCUCCUCCCCACGACUAGAUCUGAGGGUUGAUCCAGGCAGGCAGUUGAAAACAGACAGUUACCUUUCCCUUAAAAUGCUUUUCUGGAAAUAAUGACGUGAAAAGUAAUUAAGGACCGGUUUUCCUACCCAUCAUUCUCUUCUGCACGUACAAUUAUCCACAGAUAUAAAAUUGCCUGCUUUGAUAAUUAUACCCUCCAAAUGAGGGGCAAGUGGCUAAUUAUGCCCACAUGUGGCCGAUUGCACUCUCCAUUAGCCAAUUAUGUGCACAAUUAUUUGUGCACAUAAAUAAUUGUACUCAUGGAAAAUAGCGGCCCUUCUUUGAAAUCCUCCUGCUUGGCGUGGCUGAUGGAGUAAUUGUUACACUGGAAAUGUACUUGGUGGGGAGUGAAAGAGUAUCAGAUACCAGGAAACGUGUGUUAAAUGACCAGAGCUCACAGAUGUGCACUACAGCAAAUGGCAUUGGGAGUCACAGGGAGCAGGAAGGAUCCCAGGAUGGAACAGGGCCAGCCUGUGAGUUAUGAAACCUGCUUCUGAGGCUGGUUUUCUGAGCUUCUCACAUGUCAUGACCUUGGGCAAGUCAUUAACCUGCCUACAGUUCUACUGGCUCUGCAUACACAAUGAGGAUGACCGUAAAGCCAAUUCCUAGCACCAUUGUAGGAUAGAGCAGACAGUCCAAAAGGAUUUGCAGUCUCUUUGGGGGUAAAUAUAAGUCUGAGGCAUUGUCAUGUCAAUCAGCACGUUUCCAAUUGCUAAGGAAAGAAGAGGGUCCUCCUUAGCAAAGCAGGAUCACUGGUUUGGAGCGGAGGUGGGGCUUAAUAAGGACAGGAAACAUUGCCUGGGCACUAUUGUUUCUGCUGAUGGGAUAACAGGAAGUGGCACAUGGUCAUAUUGAAUUCAUUGAUGGAUUGAUUGAUUCAUUCAUUCAACAAACACCUAUAGAACUCUUAUAGUGUUUGGGCAUUUAGAAACACCAUGCAGUUUGGGAUGGAAAUGCUGUAAAACUUGGUUGUGAUGAUUGUUGUACACCUAUAAAUGUAAUAACAUUCCUUAAGUAAUAAAAAAAUAAAAUGCAAAAAAAAAAAAAAGAAA
Molecule: long non-coding RNA, 3507 nt
Filed under: Sus scrofa (pig)
Lineage: Eukaryota; Metazoa; Chordata; Mammalia; Artiodactyla; Suidae
Description: lncRNA (ENSSSCG00055021730.1)
Source: RNAcentral